This 363-nucleotide unclassified non-coding RNA is filed under the name uncultured bacterium. RNAcentral describes it as "contains 16S-23S intergenic spacer region". The record is from RNAcentral.
UCCCAGUUGACCUGGGCAGUCUCGUAAGACAUUGUAACUUACGAUGAGGGUUGCGCUCGUUGCGGGACUUAACCCAACAUCUCACGACACGAGCUGACGACGGCCAUGCAGCACCUGUCACUGCAUUCCCGAAGGCACUCCUAGCUUUCGCUUGGAUUCGCAGGAUGUCAAACCUCGGUAAGGUUCUUCGCUUAGCGUCGAAUUAAACCACAUCCUCCACUGCUUGUGCGGGUCCCCGUCAAUUCCUUUGAGUUUUAAGCUUGCGCCCGUACUCCCCAGGCGGAUCACUUAACGCGUUAGCUGUACAACACAGAGGGUCGAAUCUCCAUACUGUUAGUGAUCAUCGUUUACGGCGUGGACUAC